CUCAGAGUUGACAAGAAUUUGGAAGCCCUGACAUCCUAUAAAAUGUUACUUGCCCAGAAUUGAAACUUUCAAAUUCAGGUCCUUCUUCCUACUCUACUGAUGAAUUAGAUUUUCUUAGUUUCCCACCAAGGGACACUUUCUAUCACAUUGCUCACAGACAAGACAUAUCUACCCCCCUUCACCCCCACCCAGUGGCUCUUUCCACACCACUGCACCCACCAGGGCAUUUGCAUAUUGUCCUCUAGGGAGGACCUUCCCUCGUGAGUCUGAGAUAAAAACUCAGCUCUAACCUUCCCUGAUCAGGACUCCUCAGUUCACCUUCUCACAAUGAGGCUCCCUGCUCAGCUCCUGGGGCUGCUGAUGCUCUGGGUCCCUGGAUCCAGUGGGGAUAUUGUGAUGACCCAGACUCCACUCUCCCUGCCCAUCACCCCUGGAGAGCCAGCCUCCAUCUCCUGCAGGUCUAGUCAGAGCCUCCUGCAUAGUAAUGGAAACACCUAUUUGCACUGGUACCUGCAGAAGCCAGGCCAGUCUCCGCAGCUCCUGAUUUAUGGGGGUUCCAACAGAGCCUCUGGAGUGCCAGACAGGUUCAGUGGCAGUGGGUCAGGCACAGAUUUCACACUGAAAAUCAGCCAGGUGGAGGCUGAGGAUGUCAGGGUUUAUUACUGCAUGCAAGCUUUACAAACUCCUCCCACAUUGAUACAGCCCUUAACAGUAACCUCCCUGUUUGGAUGGCCCAGCUGCCCACAUGUACUGCUUGUCUGGGGAGCAGCUCAGCAGAGUCUCUGAGUCUGCAGAGAGGAG
This is a non-coding RNA of Cercocebus atys (sooty mangabey), 801 nucleotides long. The record is from the annotation of a RefSeq genome assembly. Lineage: Eukaryota; Metazoa; Chordata; Mammalia; Primates; Cercopithecidae.